Long non-coding RNA from Dreissena polymorpha, 716 nucleotides. RefSeq lists it as uncharacterized. NCBI's taxonomy places the organism in Eukaryota, Metazoa, Mollusca, Bivalvia, Myida, Dreissenidae. The record is from RefSeq and is a predicted model, not a curated record. The transcript has 2 exons.
UUUUGUUUGGCCCAUCAUGUACCUUCAUCGAAAUGGACCGAUGCUUGCCAAGGGAAUAGCUCAAGGAAACCAUAUGUAGAACAGCCCGCCCCAAAACGCUGAAGUACUGAGUGGUUUGGAUGUUCUGAUACGAGGUUUGAAGAUAUGCCCUGGACAAUAAAUCCGACGUCCGGACAUGUGAGAAAAUUAUUUACCUUCAGCACAACUGUUCCCGGAUAAAUUGUUUGGACUUGAGCGUUGAUGUGGCCUAUGCCAGUUUUUCUAGAUUAAAUUAAAAUAAAUGAUCAUAUGCAAAUUAUUAUUUGCCAACUUAGCAAGAAUAUAUGAAACCUAAUCGGUAAAAUGGUAUCUUCAAAACAGUAUUUCUAUGGGCCUAAUCGAUUACCUUAUUGGGCCUUGGAUGGCUUUAUGUAAUUUAAUAUAUUUCAUAUGCUACAUAUUUAUACAGGUUCAAUGUGGGCUUGGGCAAGAGUCUGUUUGUUUCGGGAACCCGUAUAUCGCUGUUGAAAAAGUGUCUUAUGACGCUUGGGCAAUUGGGUAACAAGAAUGCGUUGAAAUGAUUCAUUCAAUGAGUUGUUUUAACUACAAUAAUGUGUCAACAAUUACUUUAAACAGUCUAUGUGAUAGCAUCUUGUCUACAUUAUGUGUUUGUGUCACCUGUAUAAUAUUUAUAAUAUAAUGUAUUUGUUGACUAUGCUGAUUAAAGUUAACCGCUU